GGGGCCGUUCUGGAUUCGACGCCGGUUACAAAACCUCUAGUGCAUGCCGAGAUGGUGACCAAUCUCGUUAAUCCAAGUCGCAAACUUAUAGUUGCCAACGACGACAACUACGCACUCGCUGCUUAAACCCCAGUAGGGUGCCGUCUGACUGGAGCCGCGCCUGCGCGUCCAGGUCAAACCUCCGGGUGAGACAUUCAGGCGUCAUAUCUCGCAGGAUCGUGACAAAGCUCGUCCGGGGUGGAGUCACUAAAACCUUACCGGAAUCGUGGGCGGCGCAUCCUGACGGUCGGAUUGCCAACCAUUAAAUUUAAAGACCUGUCUAAGCAUGUAGAGCUAGUCGCAGCGGACUGACGGACGCGGGUUCAAUUCCCGCCGGCUCCACCA
Molecule: transfer-messenger RNA, 384 nt
Filed under: Porticoccaceae
Lineage: Bacteria; Pseudomonadati; Pseudomonadota; Gammaproteobacteria; Cellvibrionales
Also listed under: 2 other names
Description: LSUCC0057 sp004535795 Standard tmRNA
Rfam family: transfer-messenger RNA
About the family: Bacterial tmRNA, also known as 10Sa RNA or SsrA, is named for its dual tRNA and mRNA-like properties. Its role is to liberate the mRNA from a stalled ribosome.
Source: RNAcentral